This 1239-nucleotide ribosomal RNA is filed under the name metagenome. RNAcentral's name for it is "bacterial LSU rRNA". It matches the Rfam family "Bacterial large subunit ribosomal RNA", at positions 1564 to 2813 of the family's 2925-position model. The record is from RNAcentral.
UGAAUACGAGACGCUAAGGCGUCGAAGUAGUGUAUAUCAGACUUCCAAGAAAAGCUUGCACUGUCAUAGAUAAAAAAUGCCUGUACCAUAACCGACACAGGUGGGUAGGUAGAGUAUACUAAGGGGCGCGAGAUAACUCUCUCUAAGGAACUCGGCAAAAUAACUCCGUAACUUCGGGAGAAGGAGUGCCUUAUUUAUAAGGUUGCAAUAACAAGAUCCAAGCAACUGUUUAUCAAAAACACAGGUCUCCGCUAAGUCGUAAGACGAUGUAUGGGGGCUGACGCCUGCCCAGUGCCAGAAGGUUAAAGAAGUUGGUUAGCAAUUGCGAAGCUGAUAACUGAAGCCCUGGUGAACGGCGGCCGUAACGAUAACGGUCCUAAGGUAGCGAAAUUCCUUGUCGGGUAAGUUCCGACCCGCACGAAAGGCGUAAUGAUUUGGAUACUGUCUCGGAGAGGGGCUCGGUGAAAUAGACUUGUCUGUGAAGAUGCGGACUACCUGCACCAGGACAGAAAGACCCUAUGAAGCUUUACUGUAACUUGAAAUUAAAAUUGGACUUUAUUCGCGCAGCAUAGGUGGGAGGCGUUGAUUAUAAUCUUGCGGGAUUAUUGGAGCCAUCAGUGAGAUACCACUCUUGUAAUGUUAGAUUUCUAACUUUGAAUCAUUAUCUGGUCAAAGAACAGUUUCAGGCGGGCAGUUUGACUGGGGCGGUCGCCUCCUAAAUGGUAACGGAGGCGUACAAAGGUUUCCUCUGAACGGUUAGAAAUCGUAUCUAGAGUGUAAAGGCAUAAGGAAGCUUGACUGUGAGACCUACAAGUCGAGCAGGGACGAAAGUCGGUCUUAGUGAUCUGACGGUACUGAGUGGAAAGGCCGUCACUCAACGGAUAAAAGUUACUCUAGGAUAACAGGCUGAUCUCCCCCAAGAGUUCACAUCGACGGGGAGGUUUGGCACCUCGAUGUCGGCUCAUCGCAUCCUGGGGCGGUAGUACGUCCCAAGGGUUGGGCUGUUCGCCCAUGAAAGCGGUACGCGAGCUGGGUUCAGAACGUCGUGAGACAGUUCGGUCCAUAUCCGGUGUAGGCGUUAGAAUAUUGAGAGGAGCCUUCUUUAGUACGAGAGGACCGAGAAGGACAUACCUCUGGUGUACCAGUUAUCGUGCCAACGGUAAACGCUGGGUAGCUAUGUAUGGAGUGGAUAACCGCUGAAAGCAUCUAAGUGGGAAGCCCACCUCAAGAUAAGUAUUC